This 757-nucleotide long non-coding RNA is filed under the name Amborella trichopoda. RNAcentral's name for it is "long non-coding RNA (ATRI_LNC001994)". Lineage: Eukaryota; Viridiplantae; Streptophyta; Magnoliopsida; Amborellales; Amborellaceae. The record is from RNAcentral.
GAUUCCCGCUUCACGACAUAAUUUAUCAGGACCUCUGUUUUAAAUUAGGCUCUGGGUCAGAACUUGGGGCCUGGCCUGGACAAGUCACUGGGGCGAGUGUGAGUUGACUUGCCCAAGUCUGUGCCAAGCUGGACAAAGAACCCAAAAAACAAUAAAAAAUAAAAACAAAAAUAAAAAAAAAACUGAAGAACUGGUAAAAAUAGGGAAAAAAUAAAAAAAAGAUAAACAAAAGAAAAAAUAUAUAAAACAUGAGAAAAAAUUCAAAAGUAAAAACAUAGAAAACUGGUUAAAGAUCAUUUUCUCAGAAAAUUGAGAAAAAUAAAAAAAGGCAAAGUAUUAAAAUCCUAAAACCAUAAAAAGCACAUAGAAAACUAUUAUAAGUCAAUCAUAAUUGAUUUAGUCAAAAAUCAUUUAAAUCCACUUUAUUUAAUUAUAACUCACUUAUAUAUACCCUUCAGUUUCGGGAGUGUGCUGAACCCAAGUAACUCGGGUGAGUCAGAGUCAACUCACCAGGGUCUGGAAACACUGAUCAGGACUAGAAAGCAUAGACCAUAAUAAGCACAAAUGUAGAACAGUCACUUGCAGCAACAAAAGGUUUCAGACCAUGACCAUUUACUUCUGAAAUAAGUUAAUUUUCUACUCUACAUUCUUUAUUAAUCAUAUUACAGCGCCUUUUGGAUCAAAGAAAGAUGAAGGAUAAGUCUAGGGUCUCAUUGGCAAAUCAAUUAAAUAAGAAGAAAUACCAAACAGAGGGUAC